GGCGGAAUGGCGGAACUGGCAGACGCACCAGACUCAAAAUCUGGCGUUCUUCACUGGACGUGAGGGUUCGACCCCCUCUUCCGCCACCA
This 89-nucleotide transfer RNA is filed under the name Bryobacterales bacterium. RNAcentral describes it as "tRNA-Leu". It matches the Rfam family "tRNA". From Rfam's summary of the family: Transfer RNA (tRNA) molecules are approximately 80 nucleotides in length. Their secondary structure includes four short double-helical elements and three loops (D, anti-codon, and T loops). The record is from RNAcentral. Lineage: Bacteria; Pseudomonadati; Acidobacteriota; Terriglobia; Bryobacterales.